Molecule: ribosomal RNA, 509 nt
Filed under: uncultured bacterium
Lineage: Bacteria
Description: partial 16S ribosomal RNA
Rfam family: Bacterial small subunit ribosomal RNA
Source: RNAcentral
GACGAACGCUGGCGGCGUGCUUAACACAUGCAAGUGGAGCGACGAACCAGGGCUUGCCCUGGGGCAGAGCCGCGAACGGGUGAGUAACACGUGGGUAACGUGCCCCGAUGACCGGGACAACCCGGGGAAACCCGGGCUAAUACCGGAUGUGCUGUCCCAACAUCAGUUGGGAUUGGAAAGGAGGCUUCGGCCUCCGCCUCGGGAUCGGCCCGCGGCCCAUUAGCUUGUUGGUGAGGUAACGGCUCACCAAGGCUGCGAUGGGUGGCUGGUCUAAGAGGACGAUCAGCCACACUGGGACUGAGACACGGCCCAGACUCCUACGGGAGGCAGCAGUGGGGAAUCUUGCGCAAUGCGCGAAAGCGUGACGCAGCAACGCCGCGUGGGGGAAGAAGGCCUUCGGGUUGUAAACCCCUUUCAGGAGGGACGAAGCGUGGGCGGUUAAUAGCCGGCCCACGUGACGGUACCUCCAGAAGAAGCCCCGGCUAACUACGUGCCAGCCGCCGCGGUAA